Molecule: ribosomal RNA, 485 nt
Filed under: uncultured bacterium
Lineage: Bacteria
Description: bacterial SSU rRNA
Rfam family: Bacterial small subunit ribosomal RNA
Source: RNAcentral
AUUGAACGCUGGCGGAAUGCUUUACACAUGCAAGUCGAGCGGCAGCGCAGGGGCAACCCUGGCGGCGAGCGGCGAACGGGUGAGUAACAUAUCGGAACGUACCCCGUCGUGGGGGAUAACUAUCCGAAAAGGAUAGCUAAUACCGCAUACGACCUGAGGGUGAAAGCGGGGGACCGUAAGGCCUCGCGCGAUGGGAGCGGCCGAUAUCGGAUUAGCUAGUUGGUGAGGUAAAGGCUCACCAAGGCGACGAUCCGUAGCUGGUCUGAGAGGACGACCAGCCACACUGGAACUGAGACACGGUCCAGACUCCUACGGGAGGCAGCAGUGGGGAAUUUUGGACAAUGGGGGCAACCCUGAUCCAGCCAUUCCGCGUGAGUGAAGAAGGCCUUCGGGUUGUAAAGCUCUUUCAGCAGGAACGAAACGGUGGUCCCUAAUACGGGCUACUAAUGACGGUACCUGAAGAAGAAGCACCGGCUAACUACGUG